CGAGCGGAUGGCCCUCCGGGACGCCAGCCUUGACCGCGCCCGCGGCUCCCGGCUCCCGUCGCACAGACCCACACCCGCGCGUCUCUCAGCAGCCCCGCAAACAGUCACACCCGGCCACGCGAUGCGGGGCGAGCGACCCAGAAAGACCCUGUCCCGCCCUCCCAGAGCUCCGACGGCUCGGGGGUGAGGCCCCACGGAAGUGAGCGGCCACGCGCCCUCUGCCUUGGAAGGUCACCUUGGAUUCUGAUUGCUUUCCUAACCUUGCACCCAGUCUACAAAGCAAGGUGUUUUGGGGUCUUUGUGAGUUAUGAUGGGAACAUAACCUCCCUUCCCCCUGCAUCUCCUGCACCGACCUUUUUUUGUUCCUGAAACCACCUAGGCUGGGCUUUCUCCUGCUGUCCCCUCCUUAGGACACUCCUUAUUUCCCAUGAGGUCACAGCUUAAAUGUCAUCUUAGCUAAGAGGUUUUUCUCUAAUCGUCUGACAGGUUAGGCUCUUCAUUACCUGGGACCCCAAUACAAUAAGCUUCUGGAGGGCAGGGACCUUGCUUGUCAUCUUGUCUCCUGUGUCUGUGUCCAGAAUAGUGCCUGGCUAGAAACAGGUGCUCUACAAAUAUUUUUGGGUAACGGUAGAAAUUCCACUUCUUUUCUGGGUCUCCCAACCUACUCCGAGCACCCUUUCACGUACAGACCCACUCUUUACCCUCUGCUUUGCCAAGCUUCGGGCCCUCACACGUCCCAUGUGCCUGGACGGCACGCUCCCCUGUACGCCCAGCUGCACCCCCACUUUUUUUCAGAAAGGAUGACGACGUCCUUCACCAAUGCUUUUUCUGUCGGCAGAUUCAGCAGGGCGGGUCCUGCCCCUUUAAUCUGGGCCCCACCUGCUCUGGUCAGACAGGUUUGGAGACACAGGUAAAGGGAGAGAGACUGAGAGGAACACUUGCAGAGCCAGCAGGGAGCCGGGCAGCUCCUUCCCAGACGUUGGGGACCCUCCGUCUCUCCAGAUGGAAAGGUGAUAGGCCCUCAUGGUAGACCCCAGGAGUGAGGCCCCAGGAUGACAGAACCCGAGACCCUGGCCCUGCUGGAAGUGAAGGGGUCUGAGGCCCUGGAAAAGAGCCCACCCCAGGCCUUGGUCCCCAAUGGCCGGCAGCCAGAAGGGGAAGGUGAGGCGGAGACCCAUGGAGCCGCGUCCUCCAAGGUGGGGUCCUCAGCUGGGUCUACCACGGCCGGAGAGGGACCCGAGGAUGGCCUUGACAGCACAGUGAGCGAGGCGGCCACCUUGCCCUGGGGGACCGGCCCCCCGCCCAGUGCCCUGUUCCCAGACCCCCCCGGGUGGCGGGACAUGGAGCCCGAGCCCCUCCGGUCAGAGCCACCCACCAAGCUAGAGGACUUGUCCGAAGAUGACGCCAACCUGCUGCCCGAGAAGGCGGCCCGGGCCUUCGUGCCCAUUGACCUCCAGUGCAUCGAGCGGCGGCCCCAGGAGGACCCGGCUGUGCGCUGUGAGGCCGGCGAGGGCGAGGGCCGCCGGGCCUGCCUGCCCGCCCGGCCCAGCCAGCCCGAGCCCUGUGAGCGCAAGUGGGCCGAGGCCGUGGUGAGGCCGCCGGGCCACACUUGCGGGGGCUGCGGGGGCUGCGGAGGCCGGGACGGGCUGAGGGCCGUGGCCUCGGUGGGAGCCGCGCUCCUUCUCUUCCCCUGCCUGCUGUACGGGGCCUACGCCUUCCUGCCCUUCGACGCCCCGCGGCUGCCGACCAUGAGCUCCCGCCUCAUCUACACGCUGCGCUGCGGGGUCUUUGCCACCUUCCCCAUCAUCCUGGGGCUGCUGGUGUACGGGCUGAGCCUGCUGUGCUUCUCGGCCCUGCGGCCGUUCGGGGAGCGGCGGCGGGAGGUGGAGAUCCACCGGCGCUUCGUGGCCCAGUCGGUGCAGCUCUUCAUCUUGUACUUCUUCAACCUGGCCGUGCUCUCCACCUACCUGCCCCAGGAGACCCUCAAACUGCUCCCCCUGCUCACCGGUCUCUUUGCCGUCUCCCGGAAAUUGUUUUGGAGAGCCAAGGACCAACCCAAAACUGGAAAGGCUGCCAGGUGUCACCUCCAUCAACCUCCCACGCGCUGGCCUCUAUUAGACACCGCCUGUGACUGACUGAUGCUCAGUUCCGUGUCUGUGUAAAGGCCCCCGUUACUAGAGAGUCUUGUCUUUGUGCUAUAAACCCCGCUGUCCUGACUUUGACUCUGGAAUUGCCCAGGGCUGUCCAGGUAUUUGACACCUGUGCUCCAUGUCCCCACUCCAGCACCCUGCCCCCCGCCCACAGUUUCCUUUGCCUCAGUGUCCUGUGACCUUCCCUCUGGCCAGAGAGCCUCCUGCUUGUCGGUGGUCACUGGCACUGGCCUCCUGCUGGUACCCGUGGAGCCACGUUGGCUCUCGUUCCUCUGCUUUUGUCUGGAAGUCACCCGAAACCCUGUGGGGCGUUUCCACGUGAACUGCUGCGAACCCAGAAAGCACUUUUGAAUUUCUGAAGGCACACGCAGAUCUUUUCGUUUUUUCCCUAAUGUAUUUCCUUUUGUUACUUUUUUUUAAGCUUGUAUUUGUCAGAGAGAGAGAGAGAGAGACGGUGCGCACAAGCGGGGGGCGUGACACGGAGGGGAGAGGCAGAUUCCCUGCUGAACAGGGAGCCCAGUGUGGGACUCGAUCCCAGGACACUGGGAUCAUGACUCAAACCAAAGGCAGUUAACGACUGAGCCCCCCCAGGCAUCCCUCUUUUUGUUGCUUUUCAUGCAGGAUUCCUGGUCCCUUUAAGUGCUAGAACAUUCUUGCUCUUGAGCUAGCAUCCGCGCGUGCCGUUCUGACUGGAGCCCAGUGGCCGUCUGUCCCACCAGCCUCCCGGCCAUCUUGAAGCCUGUUUUCUCCCAGAUGUUCCCCCAGAGGAACGUGUUCCUACUGUGUCACUCACCCUCCCGUGCACCCGUGUCCGUCCUGGGGAGCGCCGGCCUCAGACAGAAGCUGGCUUAAGCAGCCAUGACGCUUGUCUGGCCCUUCUUACCCGGUUCACGGCGAGGGAAGCCAAGCAGGCUGAUAUACUGGCUGACCUUCGCCGUGGGCCGCUCUUUUCGAGGCUUUGGCU
RNA transcript from Neogale vison (American mink), 3114 nucleotides. It is a transcript of the gene named transmembrane protein 79, with no coding region annotated. The transcript has 5 exons. The record is from RefSeq and is a predicted model, not a curated record. Lineage: Eukaryota; Metazoa; Chordata; Mammalia; Carnivora; Mustelidae.